GACGAACGCUGGCGGCGUGCUUAACACAUGCAAGUCGAACGGAAAGGCCCUGCUUUUGUGGGGUGCUCGAGUGGCGAACGGGUGAGUAACACGUGAGUAACCUGCCCUUGACUUUGGGAUAACUUCAGGAAACUGGGGCUAAUACCGUAUAGGAGCUCCUGCUGCAUGGUGGGGGUUGGAACGUUUCGGCGGUUGGGGAUGGACUCGCGGCUUAUCAGCUUGUUGGUGGGGUAGUGGCUUACCAAGGCUUUGACGGGUAGCCGGCAUGAGAGGGUGACCGGCCACAUUGGGACUGAGAGACGGCCCAGACUCCUACGGGAGGCAGCAGGGGGGAAUAUUGCACAAUGGGAGGAAGCCUGAGGAAGAAACGCCGCGGGCGGGAUGACGGCCUUCGGGUUGUAAACCGCUUUCGCCUGUGACGAAGCGUGAGUGACGGUAAUGGGUAAAGAAGCACCGGCUAACUACGUG
RNAcentral lists this ribosomal RNA (468 nucleotides) under uncultured bacterium. RNAcentral's name for it is "partial 16S ribosomal RNA". It matches the Rfam family "Bacterial small subunit ribosomal RNA", at positions 28 to 507 of the family's 1533-position model. The record is from RNAcentral.